This 253-nucleotide ribosomal RNA is filed under the name uncultured bacterium. RNAcentral's name for it is "partial 16S ribosomal RNA". It matches the Rfam family "Bacterial small subunit ribosomal RNA", at positions 524 to 776 of the family's 1533-position model. The record is from RNAcentral.
UACGAAGGGGGCUAGCGUUGCUCGGAAUUACUGGGCGUAAAGCGCAUGUAGGCGGCAACGCAAGUCGGGCGUGAAAUCCCACGGCUCAACCGUGGAAGUGCACUCGAAACUGCGUAGCUAGAGUCCUGGAGAGGAAGGUGGAAUGCUUGGUGUAGAGGUGAAAUUCGUAGAUAUCAAGCGGAACACCGGUGGCGAAGGCGGCCUUCUGGACAGUGACUGACGCUGAGAUGCGAAAGCGUGGGGAGCAAACGGG